RNAcentral lists this ribosomal RNA (250 nucleotides) under uncultured bacterium. Its description in RNAcentral is "partial 16S ribosomal RNA". It matches the Rfam family "Bacterial small subunit ribosomal RNA", at positions 515 to 764 of the family's 1533-position model. The record is from RNAcentral.
CCGCGGUAAUACGAAGGGUGCAAGCGUUACUCGGAAUUACUGGGCGUAAAGCGUGCGUAGGUGGUUUGUUAAGUCUGAUGUGAAAGCCCUGGGCUCAACCUGGGAAUUGCAUUGGAUACUGGCAGGCUAGAGUGCGGUAGAGGGUAGUGGAAUUCCCGGUGUAGCAGUGAAAUGCGUAGAGAUCGGGAGGAACAUCUGUGGCGAAGGCGACUACCUGGACCAGCACUGACACUGAGGCACGAAAGCGUGG